AUUGAACGCUGGCGGCAUGCUUUACACAUGCAAGUCGAACGGCAGCGCGGGCUUCGGCCUGGCGGCGAGUGGCGAACGGGUGAGUAAUGCAUCGGAACGUGCCCAGUAGUGGGGGAUAGCCCGGCGAAAGCCGGAUUAAUACCGCAUACGACCUGAGGGUGAAAGCGGGGGACCGAAAGGCCUCGCGCUAUUGGAGCGGCCGAUGUCGGAUUAGCUAGUUGGUGGGGUAAAGGCUUACCAAGGCGACGAUCCGUAGCUGGUCUGAGAGGACGACAGGCCACACUGGGACUGAGACACGGCCCAGACUCCUACGGGAGGCAGCAGUGGGGAAUUUUGGACAAUGGGGGCAACCCUGAUCCAGCCAUGCCGCGUGCGGGAAGAAGGCCUUCGGGUUGUAAACCGCUUUUGUUCGGGAAGAAAUCCUCUGGGCUAAUACCCCGGGGGGAUGACGGUACCGGAAGAAUAAGCACCGGCUAACUACGUG
This 484-nucleotide ribosomal RNA is filed under the name uncultured bacterium. Its description in RNAcentral is "partial 16S ribosomal RNA". It matches the Rfam family "Bacterial small subunit ribosomal RNA", at positions 28 to 507 of the family's 1533-position model. The record is from RNAcentral.